RNAcentral lists this ribosomal RNA (109 nucleotides) under Aliivibrio fischeri. Lineage: Bacteria; Pseudomonadati; Pseudomonadota; Gammaproteobacteria; Vibrionales; Vibrionaceae. The record is from RNAcentral.
ACCAUAGCGUUAUGGACCCACCUGAUCCCAUGCCGAACUCAGAAGUGAAACGUAAUAGCGCCGAUGGUAGUGUGGGGUUUCCCCAUGUGAGAGUAGGACAUCGCUAGGC